Ceratotherium simum simum (southern white rhinoceros) is the source of this 109-nucleotide non-coding RNA. Lineage: Eukaryota; Metazoa; Chordata; Mammalia; Perissodactyla; Rhinocerotidae. The record is from RefSeq and is a predicted model, not a curated record.
UUAGGUGUAUUGCAUGGACCAGAAUGUGGUCUAUCUUGGUGAAUGUUCCAUAUGAGCUUAAGAAGAAUGAGUAUUCUGCUGUUGUGGAUUGAAGGAAUCUGUAAAUGCC